This 468-nucleotide ribosomal RNA is filed under the name uncultured bacterium. RNAcentral's name for it is "partial 16S ribosomal RNA". It matches the Rfam family "Bacterial small subunit ribosomal RNA", at positions 28 to 507 of the family's 1533-position model. The record is from RNAcentral.
GACGAACGCUGGCGGCGUGCUUAACACAUGCAAGUCGAACGGAAAGGCCCUGCUUUUGUGGGGUGCUCGAGUGGCGAACGGGUGAGUAACACGUGAGUAACCUGCCCUUGACUUUGGGAUAACUUCAGGAAACUGGGACUAAUACCGGAUAGGAGCUCCUGCUGCAUGGUGGGGGUUGGAAAGUUUCGGCGGUUGGGGAUGGACUCGCGGCUUAUCAGCUUGUUGGUGGGGUAGUGGCUUACCAAGGCUUUGACGGGUAGCCGGCCUGAGAGGGUGACCGGCCACAUUGGGACUGAGAUACGGCCCAGACUCCUACGGGAGGCAGCAGUGGGGAAUAUUGCACAAUGGGCGGAAGCCUGAUGCAGCAACGCCGCGUGCGGGAUGACGGCCUUCGGGUUGUAAACCGCUUUCGCCUGUGACGAAGCGUGAGUGACGGUAAAGGGUAAAGAAGCACCGGCUAACUACGUG